AAUAGAUACCCGGGUAGUCCACGCCGUAAACGAUGAGUGCUAAGUGUUAGGGGGUUUCCGCCCCUUAGUGCUGCAGCUAACGCAUUAAGCACUCCGCCUGGGGAGUACGGUCGCAAGACUGAAACUCAAAGGAAUUGACGGGGGCCCGCACAAGCGGUGGAGCAUGUGGUUUAAUUCGAAGCAACGCGAAGAACCUUACCAGGUCUUGACAUCCCGCUGACCGCUAUGGAGACAUAGCUUUCCCUUCGGGGACAGCGGUGACAGGUGGUGCAUGGUUGUCGUCAGCUCGUGUCGUGAGAUGUUGGGUUAAGUCCCGCAACGAGCGCAACCCUUGUCCUUAGUUGCCAUCAUUCAGUUGGGCACUCUAAGGAGACUGCCGUACAAAUACGGAGGAAGGUGGGGAUGACGUCAAAUCAUCAUGCCCCUUAUGACCUGGGCUACACACGUGCUACAAUGGAACGGUCAAAACGGUUGCGAAGUCGCGAGACGGAGCCAAUCCGAGAAAGCCGUUCUCAGUUCGGAUUGCAGGCUGCUAACCG
Molecule: ribosomal RNA, 539 nt
Filed under: uncultured bacterium
Lineage: Bacteria
Description: bacterial SSU rRNA
Rfam family: Bacterial small subunit ribosomal RNA
Source: RNAcentral